This is a non-coding RNA of Strigamia maritima, 72 nucleotides long. Lineage: Eukaryota; Metazoa; Arthropoda; Chilopoda; Geophilomorpha; Linotaeniidae. The record is from Rfam.
UCCCAGGUAGCUUAAUGGUAAAAGCACCCAACCGGCAAUUGGCGGAUCUGGGUUCAAGUCCCGGUCCGGGCU